UUCAAUAUUGCUGUCAAAAGCAAUGUGCACUUCUCUCUUAGUAAGACGCUGUGAUCCAUUAGAAAUUGGACUAUUCCAAUAGUCGUUUGGCUAUCAAUAGGCUGGCAUGAAGUUUAUCGAUACAAAUGGCUCGGUCUUUCAACGGCUGGGUGUAUUGUUUGGUAAGCAUGCUGUUACCUGUAUAGCUGUCUGAUGGAUUUUAAAGGCCAUAUCAUUGAUGCUACGGCACCACUCAUACGUGAGAUGGAUAUGUGCCCGAUCAACAGCGGUUAAAUUUGGGAUACCUUUUGGACCCGUCUUGAAACACGGACCAAGGAGUCUAUCUAGUAUGCAAGUAAAUGAGUAUAUAAAACUUAUUUGCGUAAAUAACUUGACUGUUAUGGGAUUACGAGUGAUAACUUUACGGUAUCAUUCCUCCAUCCCGGGGUAUUUUCAUCCACAUAUGCAGCAAUGUAUAUGGAAAAUAUACCAUGAGCAUACUGGAUACGACCCGAAAGAUGGUGAACUAUGCUUGAUCAGGUUGAAGUCAGGGGAAACCCUGAUGGAGGACCGAAGCAGUUCUGACGUGCAAAUCG
This 575-nucleotide ribosomal RNA is filed under the name Parakiefferiella sp. 1 SRM-2010. Its description in RNAcentral is "eukaryotic LSU rRNA". It matches the Rfam family "Eukaryotic large subunit ribosomal RNA", at positions 436 to 900 of the family's 3401-position model. Lineage: Eukaryota; Metazoa; Arthropoda; Insecta; Diptera; Chironomidae. RNAcentral also lists the same sequence under 1 other name. The record is from RNAcentral.